GACGAACGCUGGCGGCGUGCUUAACACAUGCAAGUCGAACGGAAAGGCCCUGCUUUUGUGGGGUGCUCGAGUGGCGAACGGGUGAGUAACACGUGAGUAACCUGCCCUUGACUUUGGGAUAACUUCAGGAAACUGGGGCUAAUACCGGAUAGGAGCUCCUGCUGCAUGGUGGGGGUUGGAAAGUUUCGGCGGUUGGGGAUGGACUCGCGGCUUAUCAGCUUGUUGGUGGGGUAGUGGCUUACCAAGGCUUUGACGGGUAGCCGGCCUGAGAGGGUGACCGGCCACAGUGGGACUGAGAUACGGCCCAGACUCCUACGGGAGGCAGCAGUGGGGAAUAUUGCACAAUGGGCGGAAGCCUGAUGCAGCAACGCCGCGUGCGGGAUGACGGCCUUCGGGGUGUAAACCGCUUUCGCCUGUGACGAAGCGUGAGUGACGGUAAUGGGUAAAGAAGCACCGGCUAACUACGUG
RNAcentral lists this ribosomal RNA (468 nucleotides) under uncultured bacterium. RNAcentral describes it as "partial 16S ribosomal RNA". It matches the Rfam family "Bacterial small subunit ribosomal RNA", at positions 28 to 507 of the family's 1533-position model. The record is from RNAcentral.